GAGUUCACUUUGGCAACACAAAUACUAAAAUUGGAAUAAUUAUGAGAAGACUAGCAUGGCCCCUAUGCAGGAUGACAUGCAACUAUAUAUGUUUUAUUAAUAUAAUUUU
This is a small nuclear RNA of Suncus etruscus (white-toothed pygmy shrew), 109 nucleotides long. Lineage: Eukaryota; Metazoa; Chordata; Mammalia; Eulipotyphla; Soricidae. The record is from RefSeq and is a predicted model, not a curated record.